AUGGUUGGCUUUGGGACUUUUGGUGGCAGUAUAUUCUUAUGCCGACGACAAGCAUUUGUACCAUUAAUUGUGCCUCAGCUUCGUAGCCGAUCUUCGAUCGUCCAUGGCAUCAACACACAAAUUGAUAAUGCAAACCUCAGCUCCAAGAAUACGCGGAGGAGGUGGCCCGGGUCGGCGUCGGCGCCGUCCGGCACGGGCCACGGGCCCGCUUCCAAGCGCAUCUGCGCGUCGGCCACCCACGCCGUGUCCUUCAAGUGCCACUUCCACCGCAAACUCCCAGGGUCACGGCCAUGGCCAGGGCCAGGGAAGCCGCCCUUCUUCGCCUCCUUCACCAGCCGCAGCCAACGCGGUGCCGCGGCACCCGGCCUCGCCGUCCUCGUCCUCCAGCACCGUCGCGACCCAGUGACGCAGCCCAAGCAUCGGCCUCGAGAAUCAAGAACGCUCGACAACGUAGAGGGAAGGAAAGGUCAUAUACAUGUCAUAAGAAAGGGAGUUUAUUUACCGCUCCCUCGAUGUAUUGUUUCCUUUGUUUGGAGAUUGAUUACCAUCCGUGAGUUAAGAUUUCUUUCGUUGUGUGAGAUGGUGACGCGAAAAUAA
This 597-nucleotide ribosomal RNA is filed under the name Triticum aestivum (bread wheat). RNAcentral describes it as "partial small subunit ribosomal RNA". The record is from RNAcentral. Lineage: Eukaryota; Viridiplantae; Streptophyta; Magnoliopsida; Poales; Poaceae.